This 492-nucleotide ribosomal RNA is filed under the name uncultured bacterium. Its description in RNAcentral is "partial 16S ribosomal RNA". It matches the Rfam family "Bacterial small subunit ribosomal RNA", at positions 29 to 507 of the family's 1533-position model. The record is from RNAcentral.
AGUGAACGCUGGCGGUAGGCCUAACACAUGCAAGUCGAACGGCAGCACAGUAAGAGCUUGCUCUUACGGGUGGCGAGUGGCGGACGGGUGAGGAAUACAUCGGAAUCUACUUUUUCGUGGGGGAUAACGUAGGGAAACUUACGCUAAUACCGCAUACGACCUACGGGUGAAAGCAGGGGAUCUUCGGACCUUGCGCGAUUGAAUGAGCCGAUGUCGGAUUAGCUAGUUGGCGGGGUAAAGGCCCACCAAGGCGACGAUCCGUAGCUGGCCUGAGAGGAUGAUAAGCCACACUGGAACUGAGACACGGUCCAGACUCCUACGGGAGGCAGCAGUGGGGAAUAUUGGACAAUGGGCGCAAGCCUGAUCCAGCCAUACCGCGUGGGUGAAGAAGGCCUUCGGGUUGUAAAGCCCUUUUGUUGGGAAAGAAAAGCAGCAGGUUAAUACCCCGCUGUUCUGACGGUACCCAAAGAAUAAGCACCGGCUAACUUCGUG